This 362-nucleotide unclassified non-coding RNA is filed under the name uncultured bacterium. RNAcentral describes it as "contains 16S-23S intergenic spacer region". The record is from RNAcentral.
UCCCCGUUACCGAGGCAGUCUGGUUAGAAAAAUACAACUAACCAUAAGGGUUGCGCUCGUUGAGGGACUUAACCCAACAUCUCACGACACGAGCUGACGACGGCCAUGCAUCACCUGUCACUACGGCCCGAAGGCACAGUCUCCUUUCGGAGACCUUAGUAGGAUGUCAAACCUUGGUAAGGUUCUACGCUUAUCAUCGAAUUAAACAACACGCUCCACCGCUUGUGCGGGUCCCCGUCAAUUCCUUUGAGUUUUAAUCUUGCGACCGUACUCCCCAGGCGGAAUGCUUAACGCGUUAGCUUCGCUACUCAAGGGGUCGAUACCUCAAACAGCUAGCAUUCAUCGUUUACGGCGUGGACUAC